Molecule: long non-coding RNA, 380 nt
Organism: Quercus robur (English oak)
Lineage: Eukaryota; Viridiplantae; Streptophyta; Magnoliopsida; Fagales; Fagaceae
Exons: 2
Source: RefSeq, a predicted model, not a curated record
UUGUGCCAAAAUGACAUGUUUCGGUGAGAAACUUUAACGGUGCGUUUUGCUGAGAGCAAUUUUUUUCAACACACUGAGGCGAUGAGGGAGAGAGAAAGGAUCAGAGAGUCAGUGAGAGAGAGAGAGACUAGGGAAAUCACGUUGUGUUACAGACUUUCUCUGUUAAGGGAAAAAUGUUGGAUCAUGAAGAUUUUGGGUUUGUGGACACAAAUGGAGGAAGAGAAGGACGCUCUUUGGGGCUUAUAAGAGUCUGUCAGAGUGAUUUCCAAGCUCAAGUCGGUCUUCUAUAAUCUUUUUCAUUCUCAAAAUCUAAAUUUCUGACUUUAUCUGUGUUUGAAAUAGCUGUGUAAAAGUCAAUUUCUUUUUGGGUUUGUCUCAUA